GCAGUGGUAGUUGAGUGGUAGAAUUCUCGCCUUCCAUGCAGGAGACCCGGGUUCAAUCCCCAGCCAAUGCA
RNAcentral lists this transfer RNA (71 nucleotides) under Loxodonta africana (African savanna elephant). It matches the Rfam family "tRNA". From Rfam's summary of the family: Transfer RNA (tRNA) molecules are approximately 80 nucleotides in length. Lineage: Eukaryota; Metazoa; Chordata; Mammalia; Proboscidea; Elephantidae. The record is from Rfam by way of RNAcentral.